AUUAAAUAGUGGUAACUAGGUGCCUUUCAGAAACUUUGGAAGGAGAAUAGGGAAUCAGGUGUAAAUCCUGAACGGGCCCGCCACUGUGACUGGUAGAAAGCAGUUGAUAGUUGACAGUUGACAGUAAAACCAGAUAGAUACUUUCAAAUUGAAUGCAGAGAUCUAUCAUAGGUUUACAACCAGCCUUGAUUUGUAGGCUGGGUGAGAUAGUUAAAAGUUAACAGUCAAAAGAUAAUUAAUUGUUAAUUGCUAAAGGAUGAUAAGACCACUUGGAUAUUAAUUGUCUAGGGAAGGUUAAGUCCUUAUCGCCAGAAGUCAGGAGACCUGCCUAAUUACCAAGCCUACA
Molecule: non-coding RNA, 346 nt
Filed under: Halobacteroidaceae bacterium
Lineage: Bacteria; Bacillati; Bacillota; Clostridia; Halanaerobiales; Halobacteroidaceae
Source: RNAcentral